This is a long non-coding RNA of Octopus sinensis (East Asian common octopus), 248 nucleotides long. RefSeq lists it as uncharacterized. The transcript is spliced from 3 exons. The record is from RefSeq and is a predicted model, not a curated record. NCBI's taxonomy places the organism in Eukaryota, Metazoa, Mollusca, Cephalopoda, Octopoda, Octopodidae.
CAAGAAUAAGAAAUACCAGUUCGUAGUCAAUUGUACACGAUAGUUGAAAUGCUGUAUCAAGAAGUUGCGGCGAUGAUGCAGAGCCGGUUGAGAUACAUGUCGUACGUGAAGUUGUGGCUGCGAUGCAGUGCCGGUUGAGGUAUAUGUCUGUUGUCCAAGAAGUUGCGGCGAUGGUGCAGAGCCGGUUGAGGUACAUGUCGUACGCGAAGUUGUGGCUGCGAUGCAGUGCCGGUUGAGGUAUAUGUCGU